AUAGCUAGGACUACCGGGGUAUCUAAUCCCGUUUGCUACCCUAGCUUUCGUCUCUGAGUGUCAGUAAUGGCCCAGUAAGGUGCCUUCGCUAUUGGUGUUCUUUCGAAUAUCUACGCAUUUCACCGCUCCACUCGAAAUUCCCCUUACCUCUACCAUACUCAAGAUAAAUAGCUUCUUUUGCUGUUUUUGGGUUAAGCCCAAAGAUUUGACAAAAGACUUAUAGACCAACCUGCAGACGCUUUACGCCCAAUAAUUCCGGAUAACACUUGCAUCCCCUGUAUUACCGCGGCUGCUGGCACAGGGUUAGCCGAUGCUUAUUCCUCAAGUAACGUCAGAUCUUCCUCCUUGAGAAAAGAGGUUUACAACCCGUAGGCAGUCAUCCCUCACGCUGUAUUGCUCUGUCAGGCUUGCGCCCAUUGCA
Molecule: ribosomal RNA, 421 nt
Filed under: uncultured bacterium
Lineage: Bacteria
Description: partial 16S ribosomal RNA
Source: RNAcentral